AGCGAAUUAGAUUAAUAUCCAGUCACUUUGAAUUGCAACCCGCUGACGCUCGUAUAAAUCGUCCCUUUUCUUUUUGCUGGCGUGACGCAACUGAGCCACUAAGCGCGCGGCAAUUCUAAACCGCAAAUCUUUACGUCGUGCUGAUUUUUUUUCUUCUUUCCUUUUGUGUGUUUGUGUGUGUCUAUUUUGUUGGGAAAGGGUUGUAUAAUAACAGACGGCUACUUGAAACCGCGAUGACAAAAAAACAGCAGCAAAGGGGGUGGUCAGAAUUCAAGAAGAAGAAAAAAAAUCCAAGGCCUCCCUCUCGUGUUCAUCGCGUAUAGCUACUUCAUGCUGUCGUUUGAUCGUUCAUUGAAAUCAAGAUGUUCUACAGCUUUGGGCAAAAAAUGAUGGCCGAUUGGCUGUCAUGCGUGCCGGGAAAAAACCAGUCAGCCAACUGCUGGCAUCUGUAUACAACAUUACACAUACAAUUGCAACAGUUGGUCGACAUGUUGUAACUUCUUUUUUUUUUUUUGAAUAUUCAUUUCGGCUACGGUCGAAUUGUUUUAUAACGACGUAGCGAUUACAACUGUCAAAAAUACGAAAAGAAAAAAUUCCUGCAUUUUAUACCCAACCGCUCUGGUUAUCCCAAAAAAAGAAGUCCCCGACAGAGAAUCGUGAUCGAUGUUCGUCUCUUGCACACCACAAAGAUUAGAUAACGGCCUGACCUUAUUUCUAUUAUACUUCGUUUUCUUAUUGUUUUUCUUUUGAUUAUUCUAUUGUUUUUGUUUUCCUGGCCUUUAGACAGAGAGACAAGCCAGAAAACAAAUGAAAUUAUUCGAAGGCGUCACUCAAGUCUGUUCACCUACAAACUUUUUCAUCAGAAAGGGUGUGGCCGCACUUGGUGAAGAGUGGGCCCCACUCUGUUUCGCAGCACCUAUUACGUAGUUCUCAUUAACAAUCGAUUGCGUACAACAUCCAAUUCAUUCUCAAUGUGUCAACGUGCUGAAAACAAAAGGAGAAAUGUCACGUGUGUCUGAUUGCAAUGUUAGUGCUACUCAGGCUUUACUUUAACGAAACUUCUUUCUUUUUUGUUUUCGAUUUUUCGUUGAACGAAUGCGCACACAAGGGCGUGAGUGGAAUUCUGAUUUCGCCGAGUAGCCAUGGAAUGACUGAUAGCUUUUUUUUUUCUUCUUCUUCUGGUGCUUUCUACUUUUCAAUUUGCUAUAUUUGCUUUCACGCUGAAAUUCGAAACGAAAACAACAAGUUAGACGUGCAGUAUCUCUGCUAAGGUCACAGCGGACGAUUACGUGUACAGCGUUACACGCAGAGAUUGGCAACCACACCCAACAUUUUUGGCAGCGUGCCCAAAGAGCGGUUGACUCGGAAUCGUGCUGCGCAUUUCAAAACGAGAUUGAUAUGGAAAAUCCAAGCGAAACCGAAAAAAAACAAAAACAAUGCUGGGGACGCUCUGGAUGGGUUACAACGCGGAGAACCUAACAAUAUUGACGCAACCAUCGUAAUACAUUUACGCGCGUCUAGAAUGUCGUCCUUUUUUGUAAACGCCUUUUUUUUUGCGCAUUGAAAUCCCCCCUUGUUUUUUUUCAAUUCAAAGUGCGUCAUUGCUAAAUGAAAUUUGACUUGGCUUUGAAGAUACGCUAAAAUGAAAUUGGGGAAAACAAAAAUCAGGUGUUUCAUUAUGAUGGCAUUGAGUUAUUCAGCCCAUAAUUGUUUUUCAUUUUCAAAAAGGACAAUUUCAAAAAAAGGACGCAAAAAGAAGUCGUGAAGCAACUAGUCUAACGGUAAACCAUUCAGAGGAACAAAAGACGUCAUGUUUAGGGCAACAUCAAUACGUUUAGAAUAAAAAAAGAGCGUCCAAUUAAAAGACGAACAUCUCGGCCUAAUUAUUUCUUUCAAUUUUUAACUCUGAAAGUCUGACAGUUUGAGCGCAAAAGGAAGAUCGUUCUUUGCAACAAGAAUGAAGGGAGGAAAGUCCACUUCCAGUUUAUUUUAAACAUGAAUAAUAUAAGAUAAAAAUAUUGAAAAUCUUUUGAGAGGGAGCUAUUGAGGCAGGAGGCGUUGAAAGAAUCCGGUUAUUCCAUGUCAAUGAACUAAAAUUGUCCUUUUCAAUCAUCCCGGAUUGUCUCAAGCAAACGGAGGUUAUAGAAGAAAAGGGAAUCAAAGACAAACACAAACAACUUGAAAUAAGGAAAAAAUUGAAUUAGAUAAAGAGAUUACGUUCGUCCCCAGGAAUCGACCACGUCAAGUUCAACGACCGUCCGCCGGAAACGACGACCCACUGCCCAAACGCACCAUCACAAACCAUUUGAAUUGAUUCGAUUGUUUUCUUGAAAACAAAAACAAAAAACAUUUGCUUCUGUGUAGCUUCUGCUUGUAUCACACACGUAAUACAAUCUGAUGUACCACAUU
Molecule: long non-coding RNA, 2409 nt
Organism: Daphnia magna
Lineage: Eukaryota; Metazoa; Arthropoda; Branchiopoda; Diplostraca; Daphniidae
Exons: 4
Source: RefSeq, a predicted model, not a curated record